UAAUAAUAUCUCUGCCCUAGGGUACUAUAAUAACAUUAUAAUUUUGCAUCUAAAAUGUUACAAUUAACAUAAAAAUUGCCAACAUCUUAGACAAAUUUCAUUUUUAUCGUUCUAUUAUAAAGAAGUAGCAGAUGACAAUUUCCUAAUUCAUAUUUACUUCGACAAAUAACCGGUUACAAAUUUUGUUCCACAACCUUAGAUUACGCGUCCCCAGCUGACAUGUAAACAUCGCAUGCAUGCUUGUGCAUUAGAUUUUCUUUUUUUCUUUUCUUUUUUGGGAAACAAUGGUACUAAUGUUUAAACCUAUAACCACAUCCAAAUUGUUAUACUAGCACGUUCUUAGUGGUUCACUUGUGCAGUAGGGCAAUAAGCUGACAAACAUCGUCAUGUAUUACAUGUUGUUCUAGUUGCCUAACUCUUGAUUCAGCUUCUUCACACUUCUCUUCUGCAAGUGGAAGUUGUGGAUACACCUAUCAAAAUGGUGUGCCAAAAAAAGAAUGUAUAUAUUAAAACAAAAUCAUUUUUAUCAUGAACAAUUUCAUGUUCUUCAGCCGUAUUAUUAUUAUUAUUAUUAAAAGACAGCAGCAGUAUUCACAUGACUGCUAAGUAAGUUACAUCUAAUUUAUAGCCCAAAUUAUAUAUGAAACUAAAAAGAAGCUAUUUUAUCAAUAUCAAAAUCUGAACCGAACGUUCUUACAUUUGAAAUCAAGAAAACAGAUGUCACACGAUUUCUUUUUCAAAAAGCACAUAGCAUUACAUAUAUGAUAUGCGUUGGAGAGUAAAAUUUGUAUCUCAAUGUGAUCCCUAAUUAAUUUCAUUCAUGGCAUGCAUUUUGAACCUAUGAUUAAAAAAUUAUGUGAUAAGAGGGCUUUCUGGCAAAAAGGAGGAAAGCAUUGGUUUAUGCCCACCCGGCUGAAAGGAGGCUUUCUGGCCGGUGAAAAAGAGGAGAGAAGGGGAGAAGGAGCUCACAGCACUCUCAAGUGAGUUGGCAGGGACAGGGUCUUCUAUCAGGACUCGCAGACAACUUCCAAUGCCUUCCAGGCAGAAUGAAAAAGCUAUGGAAGGACGUCCAAAAGGGACUAUCUUCAUAGUAAAGAAGCUACGCAUGAUUCAUUAUCUGAUUUUGUCUUUUAUUGCUAAAAUCUGAUGGGUCUUACUAAAUAACCUAAGAUAUCUCUCUAUUAGUGAAGAAAUUAUUGUAUGGUAUUCUCUUCAUCCAUCUUCAUUUUGAAUUAAUUUACAUCUUGUUAGAAUAUAAGUAUGAGGUGAAAUCACACAUUAAAUGAAAGUAAAAAAACUGAGCACACUAUAUAAAUAAAGAAAAAAACUCAUAAAUUUAAACCUAAAGGUUUAAAUUAAAGUGUGGUGUCAAUUUUUUUUAAUAAUUAUUCAUGAUUCAUUGGUGUAAAUCUUUUCAAUUUUUAUUUCCUUCAAUUCCCCAACAUAUGUGACCAUUAUUAACUCUUUUUCAUAUUGAAAAAUAUGAUUACAUGUCACAUGGAACAACCACACCACAUAAUGUAACAUGAAAAUUAAUUUACUUAAUGAGUUGUAAAAAUUGGACUAGCAUUUCUCCUAUACAUUAAUUGGAAUUGAAAGAGUAAAAAAGUCAUAUUAUUACAUAAAUGCAGAAAAGAACCAAGAAGAGGAAGCAUAUGAUGAAUCCAUAGUGUCUAAUAAUUUCUUGGAAAAGAAAUGUAAAAGCAAAUAAGAACAGGAGCAGGCAGCAACAUACCUUCUAUCUUUUCUAAUAUCAAGAAGAGGAUCUAUGAAAAAUAUCUCCUCUUCGACAUCAAAAUAUUCUCAUGUUGACAAUAGAUAUUCAAAUUAGCUUGGGAAUGCAGGGAUUUCUGCAAUUCCUAGGUGUUCAAUGUACAUCCAAAUAAUUUAUAACUACACACAUUCAAGAUACUGAAUAUGAUGUUCAAUUACUGAGACAUCAAAAAGUCCCAUAAGUUAGCAAUAUUUUAGAGACAUACAAUAACAUUCUCCCAGCUGCAUACUUAAUUGGUUAAAUGGAGUACAUGAUAUGAGAAGGAGAAGUGAAUGCAAUCAUACCACAUUCUGGGCAACGGAGAUAGUCCUUUUCCUUUUCCCUAAGAACAAGCCCUGACCCUCCACACACCUCACAUCUUUUUUGAGCUAUCUGGAACAUAUCCAACAAUGAAGACAUGAAACACGGGCUUCAUAACUUAUGAGUUAGCAGCUCAACCAAAAAAAGUGACUUACAAUUAUUUUGCUAAAUUCAAUCCCUGCCACCACAAAAGGGGUAACCCCAGCUGCAAAAUACAAACACACAAAAUCAAAACCCAAUUCCUGAGCACCAUUCUCUUUCCAUAAAGAUAAGCACAAAACAUAACUGCAGUCUUUUGGUGCUGCUCUCUAAUCAGAAUUGAAGUUUCAUCUCGAUAACAUGUUGAAUGCAAAUCUUUAUUAAGCAGAUUGAUAAAAAAAAAAAAAUCUCUAAUUUGAUUUAAGAAUAACUAUAAAAAACACCCUAAUAAACUGCAUGCAUCCAAAGUUUUGUUUGUCCUAUAAAAACAAACAUCACAAGUAAAGUAAAAUAUCAAAGGUUGUGCUGUGUGACUUAAGGUACGUAUAGCUCCAAUUUGCCAUGUGACUUCCCCCGGAGCAGGGUCAAGUACUGUAGUUAUGAUUUUGAAAUCGUAAAAUAAAAAUAAAAAUUAAUGACUUUGAAGUUAUAAAUAAAAAAAAAUUAUAUUAAAAUCGUAAAUAAUAUAUGAUUUUAGUUAAAAAAUAAAAAUAAAUUGUAAUAAAUGUUACUACUUUUUUCACUAGGAAUAUGCACCCACUAGAUAUAUGAAUAUAAUUUUGAUAUAUAAAUAAGAAGACUAAAUAAAACAUGCCCCACCGACACGCGACGCCAUGCACGCCAACGCCGGAGUACAAACCAAAAUAUGAGACCUAAACGAUUCUCUUUGGAAAACACGAAGCGACAAAACUCAAAUGAAUUUUAUUACUUUAGACAAAAUAGAAUCAAAGUCACUAUCAACUCACCAUGCACGUAGCAAUGAACCUUUCCAUAUGUCAAAUUCACCACCAAUGCUAAACCCGUAAUUCUCCCCCAAACCCCAUGCAC
Molecule: long non-coding RNA, 3100 nt
Filed under: Glycine max (soybean)
Lineage: Eukaryota; Viridiplantae; Streptophyta; Magnoliopsida; Fabales; Fabaceae
Description: long non-coding RNA (GMAX_LNC003760)
Source: RNAcentral